UGGGGAAUAUUGGACAAUGGGCGAAAGCCUGAUCCAGCCAUGCCGCGUGUGUGAAGAAGGUCUUCGGAUUGUAAAGCACUUUAAGUUGGGAGGAAGGGCAUUAACCUAAUACGUUAGUGUUUUGACGUUACCGACAGAAUAAGCACCGGCUAACUCUGUGCCAGCAGCCGCGGUAAUACAGAGGGCGCAAGCGUUAAUCGGAAUUACUGGGCGUAAAGCGCGCGUAGGUGGUUUGUUAAGUUGGAUGUGAAAUCACCGGGCUCAACCUGGGAACUGCAUUCAAAACUGACUGACUAGAGUAUGGUAGAGGGUGGUGGAAUUUCCUGUGUAGCGGUGAAAUGCGUAGAUAUAGGAAGGAACACCAGUGGCGAAGGCGACCACCUGGACUAAUACUGACACUGAGGUGCGAAAGCGUGGGGAGCAAACA
RNAcentral lists this ribosomal RNA (427 nucleotides) under uncultured bacterium. RNAcentral describes it as "partial 16S ribosomal RNA". It matches the Rfam family "Bacterial small subunit ribosomal RNA", at positions 355 to 774 of the family's 1533-position model. The record is from RNAcentral.